GAUGAACGCUGGCGGCGUGCCUAAUACAUGCAAGUCGAGCGAACGGACGAGAAGCUUGCUUCUCUGAUGUUAGCGGCGGACGGGUGAGUAACACGUGGAUAACCUACCUAUAAGACUGGGAUAACUUCGGGAAACCGUAGCUAAUACCGUAUAAUAUUUUGAACCGCAUGGUUCAAAAGUGAAAGACGGUCUUUCUGUCACUUAUAGCUGGAUCCGCGCUGCAUUAGCUAGUUGGUAAGGUAACGGCUUACCAAGGCAACGAUGCAUAGCCGACGUGAGAGGGUGAUCGGCCACACUGGAAGUGAGACACGGACCAGACUACGAAGGGAGGCAGCAGAAGGGAAUAUGCCGCAAUGGGCGAAAGCAUGACGGAGCAAAGCCGCGUGAGUGAUGAAGGUCUUCGGAUCGUAAAACUCUGUUAUUAGGGAAGAAAAUAUGUGUAAGUAAAUGUGCACAUAUUGACGGUAACUAAUCAGAAAGCAACGGCUAACUACGUG
Molecule: ribosomal RNA, 497 nt
Filed under: uncultured bacterium
Lineage: Bacteria
Description: partial 16S ribosomal RNA
Rfam family: Bacterial small subunit ribosomal RNA
Source: RNAcentral